This 263-nucleotide unclassified non-coding RNA is filed under the name Hevea brasiliensis (rubber tree). Lineage: Eukaryota; Viridiplantae; Streptophyta; Magnoliopsida; Malpighiales; Euphorbiaceae. The record is from RNAcentral.
AUAACUACUGUGAAGUAGAAUUUACCUAUGAAAAGAAAUAAACAAUGAGUAGGUUGGUCAGUUGACUAGGGAAGCUUGAUGCAAUCACUCUUCAUGCAUUUUGACAAGGAUUCUGCUUCAAUUUGACCAACUGUAUAUGUGCCUCAAUUUUUUAUUUUAAAAGUCUAUGUUUGACUCAUACGUCCCACAGACAGGAUAUUACACAUUAUAAAGGCUGGUGUUUAUUUGAUUCCCUACAGGUUUCAAAGUAACUUGGUUUCCUA